CUCUGUGUAGAAAAUAGAUUAGCGGCAAACGGGUGCGUAACACGUUGAUACUUCCCCCUAAGUCAGGGAUAGCCUGGAGAAAUCCAGAUUAAUACCGGAUAGUCCCGAAAGGGUAAAGCAGCAAUGCGCUCAGGGAAAGGUCUGCGGCCUAUCAGCUAGUUGGUGAGGUAAUAGCUCACCAAGGCAAUGACGGGUAGCUGGUCUGAGAGGACGGCCAGCCACAAUGGGACUGAGACACGGCCCAUACUCC
Molecule: ribosomal RNA, 250 nt
Filed under: uncultured bacterium
Lineage: Bacteria
Description: partial 16S ribosomal RNA
Rfam family: Bacterial small subunit ribosomal RNA
Source: RNAcentral